RNAcentral lists this ribosomal RNA (447 nucleotides) under uncultured bacterium. RNAcentral describes it as "partial 16S ribosomal RNA". It matches the Rfam family "Bacterial small subunit ribosomal RNA", at positions 29 to 523 of the family's 1533-position model. The record is from RNAcentral.
AGCGAACGCUGGCGGCAGGCUUAACACAUGCAAGUCGAACGCCCCGCAAGGGGAGUGGCAGACGGGUGAGUAACACGUGGGAACGUACCCUUUGGUUCGGAAUAACUUGGGGAAACUCAAGCUAAUACCGGAUAAGCCCUUAUGGGGAAAGGUUUACUGCCGAAGGAUCGGCCCGCGUCUGAUUAGCUAGUUGGUGAGGUAAUGGCUCACCAAGGCGACGAUCAGUAGCUGGUCUGAGAGGAUGAUCAGCCACACUGGGACUGAGACACGACCCAGACCCCUACGGGAGGCAGCAGUAGGGAAUAUUGGACAAUGGGGGCAACCCUGAUCCAGCCAUGCCGCGUGAGUGAUGAAGGCCUUAGGGUUGUAAAGCUCUUUUACCCGGGACGAUAAUGACUGUACCGGGAGAAUAAGCCCCGGCUAACUUCGUGCCAGCCGCCGCCGUAA